CUAAGCGCGUUAACAGGAACCAGUAAAUUGGAAGACAUGCGCAAGAGAGUGGAAUCCACCGGCUGAAAGAUUCCAUCGUCAUGAACCAAUUGAACCUACUCCUCGAGCUGUCAGAUGAAACCUGACCGUUUACCCACGUUACGGGAUCUAAGAGAGCCUCAUCAAAAGAUGAUGCUAAUCAAGGUGGUACCGCGGAUAACAGACUCUUUCCGUCCUUAUA
Molecule: non-coding RNA, 220 nt
Filed under: Fictibacillus enclensis
Lineage: Bacteria; Bacillati; Bacillota; Bacilli; Caryophanales; Fictibacillaceae
Description: T-box sequence
Rfam family: T-box leader
About the family: Uncharged tRNA acts as the effector for transcription antitermination of genes in the T-box leader family.
Source: RNAcentral